AACAUAAGAGUCUUCUAUUGCCAGGAUGGCCAAGGGACCAGCACUUAAGAAACAUUAUGAAGGCGGCAAGAAUCAAUUUAAGAAAAGAGAUGGGCUCAAGAAGGAAGAUAAAUGCUGUGAGCAUUGCAAGACCACUGGACACUUCAAGGAGAGCUGCUUUAAAAUCAUUGGGUACCCAGAAUGGUUCAAACAAAGAAAGGCCCAAACCAUCUGCUAAUCUUGCUGAUAGUACUUCUCUAGAAGAAACAACAAAUGAACCUGCAGGGCACAUCAAACAACCUGAUGAAUGGAACAAUGAAGCCCCUUACCAACUUAAUUCAACAAGAGGUUAUGAAAGCAUUGAAAGGUAAAAUGAUUCACGAAGCUGGCUGUGUGGAUUUCCCUAGGUUCACUGGUAAUAAUUCCAAUACUUCUGCAUCAUAUAAAUAUGGUAAUUAGAUUAUUGACAGUGGUGUAACCACUGAUAUGUGUUGUGAUUGAAAAUUAUUCACCAAUUUCACACAACAAAAGACCUCCAGCCAUGUUCACCUACCUGGUGGAACCACAAAAGUAAUCACACACAUG
This 564-nucleotide unclassified non-coding RNA is filed under the name Hevea brasiliensis (rubber tree). The record is from RNAcentral. Lineage: Eukaryota; Viridiplantae; Streptophyta; Magnoliopsida; Malpighiales; Euphorbiaceae.